UGCGAGUGCACGCGUCAUGGGCACAGCGGGCACAACCGCACAAACCCUACCCCCAAUCCAUAGCCGCCACUCCCUCCCUCCUUCUCCUUCCUCCCUCGUCUGCCGCCGCCACUCCCUCCCUCCUCGUCGCCCUGCCUCCGCCCUAGGAGCUUCGUCGCCUCCCGCGCGCUCGUCCUCUCAUCUCCCAUGGAGGGGAGGGGUGGGGAUGUAGGGGAAGGAGGAAGCCGGAGAUGCUGCUGCUGCUGACGUCCAUGGAGAUGCUGUUGAUGCGGAUCGAGAAAGCAAAGAAAUUAGGGGGAGGAUGUGAGAGAGAAGGAAGGAGAGGAGAGGUCAGGGAGAGCCCCGGUGUUCUACCCCUACUAGGGCAUCUUUGCUCCAGGGAGAAAGGAGGGGACCAGCGGCACAGGGAGGAGAGGAGGCCGUCGAGGCAAGUGGGGAGGGGGCAGCGGCGUGGGAGAGGAUGGAGCGGGGAGGACAUGAGGCGAAGGGGGAGCGGGGCUCGGGAGCACAUGCCGGCGGCCGGCAGGUCGAAUCGUCGCGCCACCGCGUAGUCGCCUCCUCUGCGCCAUGAGGCACCACCUCUGCCUCCACCCUCCACUAGGCAAGGAGCUCGAGGUGAACAGGCAGUGGGAAGGUGAGAGGAAGCAGGAGCUCAUCUCUCCUCCAAUGGCUGCCUCGUGCAUCUGGAGUAUAAGGAGGACAACACGUGCCUGUUGGAGGCGACUCGAGCAACGCAGGCCAGCGGCGAACUAGAUCUGACAUAGAAGACCACGUUCGUCAGAUUCGAAAGUGACCAUCUUCCAAUGGCUCUAAUGGAUGUGCACUCUUGUCUCCGUUGUUAUACCUAUUUUGGAAUCCAUGGCAACAUGUUGUGCUUUGUCGGCACAUUCGUGCAUGUGUGAGGUCGCAGAUGAAGAAGCACAGAAUGAUCAUUAUAUUCUCCUCUGCUCUGAUCUUCUAUUGACAUAUGUAAGAUGUACCUUAUUUCCUGGUAUUUCCUGAGAUUCUGAACUGAUUGUAUGACAGUGAUUAUUAUGUAAAAGUGUUUUCAGUUGUUGUUUAGUAUGGAUGCCUCCAUGGUUGCAUAGGCAUCCAUGGUUCUGUGAGGAGGUUAUCUAUGUCAUUCUGUUUUAUAUAGAUGUCUAAUUAGGUAAGCAAUCACACAUGGUCCUGUUACUUGUUUGUUUCUUUUGAUCAUCUUGAUGUUGAGUUGUGGGUUUACGCGAUCUUGCUACCCAGCUGGUUAUUUGAACAUGAAAAGGAGUACGACUCGGCAGUAAAGUCAACCGUGGGGAGGUGCAACAUGGCGUGGCCUCAACAGCCAAUUAGGUGUCCUCUAUCUUUGCCUAUUGCUUCAUCUGGGACACUGAUUUUGUUUGACUUAUGAAGGCACAUUCAUCCUACAAGAACAAUCAUGAUUUAGAGUUAGACCACUCUUGCACAUCGGUUUGCUUUCUUACAUUGAUUGUUGUUUUUUUGUGCAUUAUAUCAUUCACCUUCUCACAUAAUAGUCUGGUAAAAAAAGAGUGAACUCACUCCUGAAUUUGCACUAAUUAUAUAUUUAUGGCACUAUUAAUAAUUUGUAUUUGCAUUCUCUGUUGAGUUCGUCGAGUUCCUUCCUCAAUAUGCUUAGAUGCUUUUCUCAAUGUGAAUUGCAUCCGUGAUGGAAAGAAGCAAAAGUGUGAUGUAGCAUAAUCUCCAGCAUGGUAGAGCCGCGUAUCGUCCAAAUAUUUGUUCUACAGUAGGUUAGUACAGACUUAUUGGAUCAUAUUUUUCAGAAGUAUGUGAACCUUCUGCACAAUGAAUCAUAACCCUGAAUUGUUAUUUCAAAAAAUAUCUGUGAAACCUUACAUUUGUUAGCUGUCAUACAUAUUUUACUAUUCCUGGACAAUUCCGAUUUUUGCUAAUAUGCUUAUCAGAAGUUUUAUUUAAUCAUGGCCGAAAUUUCAACAGAAUUAGGCCUUUCAGUACUUCACAUUUGUUGAACUAAUGGCCAUUUUCUAUUUUGUUGCUGUUUGGAUUGUUCAGGUAUUGGAAGUUUUGGGUUCCACGGAAUUAUUGGUGCUUAUCUACAAAGUUUAUUAUGCUUAUCAUUCUAGAUUUUCUGAUUCUCAGUUGAACAGUACCGUUGAUAAAGCUACACGGUGGAUGCUAUUCAUUAUAUAAGGUUUGCUAUCAAACUCUCAAAAAAGGAAAAACAACUUUACUCUGUUUUUUGGAUAACCUUCCUGUAGAGUACCUCGACAGAGACAAAUAUGCGAUCACGGAUAUAUUCGAUUGAUUUUCACGCAAAACUUGGAGGAUAUUUUUGCAGAUAGUUUGAUGCUCUCAUGGUUAAUCUUUUUCUUGGAACUAUUGGCAUGUAGAGGAGGCUGCGUUUUAUUUGCUGGUUUAUGUGAUUGGCGGGGAUGGAACAAUGAGAGGAGCAGUGGUGAUAUUCGAAGAGUUUAAACGGUGUCGUUUGAGGAUAUCCAUUACAGGGAUCCCAAAAAACUUGGACAAUGACAUCGAAAUCAUAGACAAGGCGUUUGGGUUUCAGACUGCAGUGGAGAGUGCUCAGUAGGCAAUCGAUGCGACACAUGUGGGGUUGUGAAUAUUGUGGAUGGCAUUGGUCUUGUCAAACUUAUGGGAAGGAGCAUGGGACACAUUACUCUUCAUGCCACCCUGAGCAGCCUAAGAUGUUGACUGUUGUUUGAAUCCUAAGAUCGAUUUCCAUGUUGAAGGGAAGGGGCAUGUUGUCGUUGUUGUUGCUCAAGGCGCUGGUCAGGAGUUGAUUCCCCAGAUUGAUGACCAGAAGCGAGAGCAGGAUGAGUAUGGCAACAUGUUGUUCCUUAGCGUUGGCCUUCUUCUAUAAAGUUUACAUACAAUUCACCUGCAUGGUUAAAAAAGCUACUAUACUAAUGUAAAUGUUCUGUUUCUUUGAAGAUUACUCAUUUCUCUUACCAUUGUUGUAUCAAAACAAUUGUGUUUUGGCCGCUUGCGCUCAUUUUAUAGGAGAUUGAGAUGUGGGACAAGCUACUACCAAAUGUUUGGUUCCCAUCAAACCGUUUA
Non-coding RNA from Triticum aestivum (bread wheat), 3051 nucleotides. The record is from RefSeq and is a predicted model, not a curated record. NCBI's taxonomy places the organism in Eukaryota, Viridiplantae, Streptophyta, Magnoliopsida, Poales, Poaceae.